CAGGAGAUGGUGGAAUCACCCAGACACCUAGAUACUGGAUCACACAGACCUCAAGAAAGAUAAUCCUGAACUAUUCUCAGGAUAUGAACCACUAUCGGAUGUUCUGGUAUCAACAAGAUGCAGGGCAGGGGUUGAAGCUGAUCCAUUACUCAGUAGGCACUGACAGAACUACCAAAAGUGAUGUCCCUGAAGGGUACAGUGCCUUCAGAAAUGAGAUACAGAGCUUUCCCCUGACAUUAGAGUCAACCAGUUCCAACCAGACCUCCAUGUACUUCUGGGCCAGCAGUGAACAAA
This is a non-coding RNA of Mus musculus (house mouse), 294 nucleotides long. The record is from the annotation of a RefSeq genome assembly. Lineage: Eukaryota; Metazoa; Chordata; Mammalia; Rodentia; Muridae.